This 253-nucleotide ribosomal RNA is filed under the name uncultured bacterium. RNAcentral's name for it is "partial 16S ribosomal RNA". It matches the Rfam family "Bacterial small subunit ribosomal RNA", at positions 524 to 776 of the family's 1533-position model. The record is from RNAcentral.
UACGGGGGGGGUAAGCGUUGUUCGGAAUUACUGGGCGUAAAGGGCUCGUAGGCGGCCAACUAAGUCAGACGUGAAAUCCCUCAGCUUAACUGGGGAACUGCGUCUGAUACUGGAUGGCUUGGAUUCGGGAGAGGAAUGCGGAAUUCCAGGUGUAGCGGUGAAAUGCGUAGAUAUCUGGAGGAACACCGGUGGCGAAGGCGGCUCACUGGCCCGUAACUGACGCUCAUGCACGACAGCGUGGGGAUCAAACAGG